Molecule: RNA transcript, 2771 nt
Organism: Phasianus colchicus (ring-necked pheasant)
Lineage: Eukaryota; Metazoa; Chordata; Aves; Galliformes; Phasianidae
Source: RefSeq, a predicted model, not a curated record
CAAGCAAGAAUAUAUUUAUAUUCAAGCUCAUUUUCUACGUUUAUGUUUUGUGCAGUUGAUAUCUCUUUAUGUAUAUGUUUGCUGUAGAACAUCAGGUUUCAUUUCUAAACCUUGUCUUGAGUGCUGGCCAUAAGCCUACUACAAACUUCAAACCAUUUCUCUACAUAAAACAGCAUGCUUUUUUAGAACAGAGAGAAAGAAAGACUAUAACAUUACACUAGUCAGCAGGUGGCUUGCAUUAUUAGUCAACUCUAGCUCCAGCAGAGCUGGAAAACACAGCUGUCCUGCAUGUACAUGCCAUGAAAGCUUGCUUUAAUCAGGGACCAUAGUACUUGUGUUCAGCUCUGUUUUCUCUGUGGCGUUUUUCUCUUUGACACUGAUUGUGAAACCUUAAGUUAUAGAAAAGCUUUGUAAUCUCAAACCAAUAAUUAUCAAUGUUCAAGCACUUUUUCAUAGAACAUGCAUUAGAUAGUUGGAUUUUUCUGUGUUCUGUUAAAUUGUGUGUGUUUAUGUGAGAUAGCACUAAUCAGAAACUAUUUUUUCCCCUUAGAAAGUUGUGACUUUCUAAAAUGAGUGGAAAAAAUGGAAAUAGUCAUUAGAAAUUAUACUUACAAAUAUCUUUACUGUUCAAUGUGCAAAUCCUUAGUCUGGGUUUAUUUAAAAAAAAAAGUUUAAUUCGAAGAGCAAUAAUACAUGUUAUUUGUCACAAAUGCAGUAUGAACUUAAUGCAGAUGAAUCUGAAUUGUUCAUUUAGUCAGUUAUAAAUGUUAUUUAAAAAUAUACAGCUGUGAAAUGAUGGAAAUCAUUCCAAUUAUAAUCAUGAGGCUGUCAGCUCUGUAAUUCCAGACAGGUUCAUCACAGCGCACAGCCUGUCUUGUGGAAGAGGAAUUGUAGCAGUUUAUAAGUACGAAGUGGCAGAAGAAAAAAACAUUUUGCUUUUUUAGUUGGGUAUUAUGUAUAGGAGCAGAAUAUAUAUAGAUAGCACCUGCUCAAGCAAUUUUGUGAGAUUUGAAAAAGAUAACAAUUUCCUUAGGUUUUUUUUUUUUAUGUCUAGAUUUGUUUGCUCAUUUAUUAAAUAAAUUUUGUGUUUUAUUGCUGUAUGAGGGCUGCUACAAAAGUAACGUACUGACUUUAUGUAAGUUGCAUGACUGGAGGUUCUGGUUUGAUACUGGGAAAAAUUUCCUCUCAGAAAAAGGUGUGAGGCAUUGGAACAGGCUGUCCACGGAGGUGGAGGAGUUAAUGUCCCUGGAGUUGCUCAAGAAAAAGCAGUGCAGGUGAAGAUCUGUAAUGGCCCAGUGCGACUGUACUUGCUUCUGACUAGAACUGCUUUGCCCCCAUGCUGCUAAUGCCCAUGCUGAGGUGUAACAAGGUGAGUAGUAACUUAAUUCAAGUUGCAGCAUAAAUGUUCGUGUACUUUGGCAUUCCUUUUAUCUGCAUUUCAGUGCUUUGAUCAUCAGCUGAGUUUAGCAAUUACACACUGGUAACCAAUGGUGUAAAAGUUAGCUAUUAUUGCAUGCUCAAGAAACACAAUCCUAUGGAUUGAAAACAUGCAUACUAUUUAUAGUACUGUACAGACACCAUCAGCCCUAUGCGAAGGAAAAAAAACCAACACAAAAAAACCAACAAGUCAACCAAAAAAUUCAUUCAUUCCUUCUAUGACUUGCCUUGUUGCUGGUCUUGAUGGAACAAUACUUCUGCACAGCUAAGCGAUUCAGACCUUAUUUGGUUGGGGCUUAGUUGAAUGCCAACUGAAUGAAAAGAUGCAUUCAUGUUAGUCUCUACUCUGCUUAUGAUGAAAUAGAUUUUUUUUUUUUUUUCCCCCACUAAAUAUGAAGUUAUUUAGUAAAGAACUAUAAGAGUGAGCUUACUCUAGAAAUGCAGUGCCUUACUAUACAUUACAAGGAGAAUUUUAAACCCCAAGUAAACAAAUACUAAAUUGCAGUGACUUUCUCCUUGAGUUAAUACUUCGUUAACACAUAGUUAAAGGUGCCAGUGAAAGCCUAUUUGAAUAUAUGUGAAAGUUAUUACUACAUUUAUACAAAUGUAAUGUUCUAUUAUAGAAAUAUUUUAUUGAAUGCAAACAUAGUAUUUCUUUCUGCAAAUAAAAUGCAUGAUGACAUACAUGAAAGAAGUAAGCGAAAAUGAAAAUAAGGCACAACUGAAAAAUAACUUUUCACAUUUUUUUUCUAUUUCAUCCUUAGUGGAACAAUAAAUACAAUGGCAUAGCUUCUAUUAAUCUUAUUUACACAGUACAAUUCUUGAAUGUUACCGGGUUUCCAGCCCAAAUGUUUCAUGAUGUUAACAGGAGUAUGUGUUGCAGCAUUUCUACAGCCAAGCACUCCAGGAGAUCAUCACAAAGAAAAAAAAAAUACAUAGAAUAGCUGUUAACAUUUAAAUAUCAUAAUAAACUGAGGGAACCCUGCAGCAUAGAAUCAAUUUGUGGCAUUUAUUAAUUGAUGACAGUAGCAUUAAAAAUAGACAUUCCCUUUAAUACAUAACUAACAUGCUAGUUACUUAUACUAAGUGUAAGACAAGCAUUUCUGUAGCCCCCUUCAAAGUGGUACAGUAAAUGUUCACUAACAAAAGAGCAAAGAACAAUAAUAAGUAACUCUCUGCCUGUUGAAAAGAACCUCACAGCCCCCCAGAAGUUUUCUUACAUUCCAGACAAUACAGGCAAUGAGUACAAUAUUCCAUAAAGUAGAAAAUAAUCCACAGGACGAAAUCUCAGCGUAAAGAUUUGAUUUUAAUUUAUAGUGACAAAAAAAAAAAAA